UGAGAUCGCCAGCACUAUAACUUUCCGUUAUUUUUUUAGACCGAUAGCACCAAUCUUUCCGUUAUUUGUGAGAAACAUGGAUGAAUAUUACAUUGAAAUUUCCCACUACAUUGCACAAGGGAUUUAUCAUAGCCUCACCCUCACUUCUAAGAAUCCCGAUAGCAGAAAGGCGACCAUUCGAAAGACGUCAAAGAAUUACACAAUUAAAAGUAAGUAACAACAAUGUGAUGUGUGAGACUUGUUAGAUACACGCAGAUGUCAAUAUUUUUGAAGACGGAUUUACUACCAGUUAAAUUAGUCAUUAAUCAGAUACUAAGUUAACGCCAAUUGAAGUUAACAUUCUCUUUUCCUGGUGGUUAUUAGAUAAGCAGUUGUAUUACAACCACCGGGGCAACCUGCGCUUGGUCGUGUUUCAAGCGCAGGUUUGCGACAUUUUAAGGAGCUGCCACGAUGACAUUGGCAGUGGGGGAUUUCAUGGCAGACGGCGGACAUUGGAGAAGGUUUUAGCAUCGUACCACUGGAAAACUGCACAAGAGGAUGUAAUGAAAUGGGUUGAUGAGUGUCCCCGCUGUCAGCACCACGAGACAGUUUAAACUGUUGCUCCUGUUCUUCAUCCCAUCCAAGUUCAGGAAGCUUGGAGUGUCCUUGGGAUAGACCUGAUUGGUCCCCUUCCUACCACUGCAAAGGGCAAAAGGUUCAUUCUAACAGCCACAGAUCUUUUUACCAAGUGGGUCGUGGCAAAAUCCCUCUAGACCAAAAUUGCCACAGAGGUGUCAAGAAAAAUUGUCAACAUUUUGCUUGACUUUGGACUUGUAGAGAGGAUCAUUACUGAUCAAGGGCGGGAAUUUGUCAAUGAGGUCAGCCGUGGCGUUUUUGAGGCUUUGGGUGUGAAGCACUGCAUUACAUCAGCCUACCAUCCCCAGGCCAAUGGACAGGAUGAGCACACUAAUUACAAUAAUAAUUAAUUCCUUAACUAAUUAAUAAACAAGACUGUGGGGAGGAUAAAAAUGACUGGGAUAUCCAUUUAAGGGGAAUAGUGGCAGGCAUCAACACAGCUAAACAGAGAUCAACCAGGUUCACACCCUAUUGUGCCCUGUUUGGAAGACACCCUCGCACAGCAGGUGUGAUAAAUGUCACACAAGAAGAGGGAAGUGACAAAGAUGUUCUUGUAGUAGAGGAGACGGAAGAGCACCUGGAGGCCAAGAUAGCAGAAGUUGCUGAUUUGCACGCAAAGAUUUACCAGAACAUAAAAAAUGCACAGCAAAAACAAAAGAUGGAAUAUGAGACCAGGAAAAACGAAAUGUGAAAUUGUUCAUCUUCAAAGUUGGUGAUGAGGUCCUUAAAGCCAAUAAAAGAAAGGAAGGACGAAACGUAAAAUCGCUAAGUAGUUUGUCCAACUGGUGUUACCGUAGGGUGACGUCGCUAAGUAGUAAAAUCGCUAAACGUUAAAUCGCUCGCUAACUAGUUUGUCCAACUGGGGUUACCGUAGGGUGACGUCAUCAUUGGUCUAAGGACCCCGAGAACUUCUGGCAGCCCGAGAACAUCCGGUACCCACACCGGCUCUCCCUCAGUUCCUGCUGAGACUGCCUCCUGUUCUGGGUUCCUGCUCCUCUGUCAGUGCAGGUAUUGUGGCCGGGGCUUGCUGCGUGCACAUUCUUCCUGUCGGCUGCUGCAGUUGUGGUGUCCUGUUUUUAUUUUACUGCAGUGAUUGCCGUAAUCCCUCGUCACACAGCGUAUCUACGUGUGACAGGAAAGGGCGAAGUGGAACGGAGCGCAUCGCUCUCUGCCCCUCCCUUUAGGUGCAAUCAGCGCUUAUCGGUGUGUUUGAUGUGUACCUCUUCACCCUGCAUGUCCUCUGGUUGCAGAGGUAAUGCCCUGCUGCCCGUCUUCUGGUUUACCUCCGCAGGGUGUUUGGUGGAACCCGCCGCCGCUGCUGGGACAGAUUUUUGGUCCUUCUGUGAGUGUUUCUGUAGUUGUUCUUCACGGGUCCCCCCCCAUCCACUCUAGUGGUCCGACGGGUGAGUCGCUGCCGGCGGCGUCUCCUCCCCCACCUACCACGUGACUGUGCAGGUGCUCCUGGGAGUUGGAGCCCCGUAGGGUCUCGUUAACACCUACCCUUUCCUCGCCACCUGUAGGAAAAAGGACUCUGGUACACAAGUGGGAAUACACUUGUUUGUUGCGUUUUUUUGUUGUUUUUUUUAACUUGUCCUGUC
Oryzias latipes (Japanese medaka) is the source of this 2213-nucleotide long non-coding RNA. RefSeq lists it as uncharacterized. Lineage: Eukaryota; Metazoa; Chordata; Actinopteri; Beloniformes; Adrianichthyidae. The record is from RefSeq and is a predicted model, not a curated record.